Molecule: unclassified non-coding RNA, 173 nt
Organism: Prolemur simus (greater bamboo lemur)
Lineage: Eukaryota; Metazoa; Chordata; Mammalia; Primates; Lemuridae
Source: Ensembl
UUGACAGCUUUGGAAACUAAAAGACACUAAUUGUCCACAGAACAGGUACAGUAUGGCCAGUGGCAGUACAAAACAUGUUAUGUUGUCCUGCCAAUGAGCCUCACAUACAUUUCUUAGAACUUUAUGGAGUAUAAAGGUUCUAAGGCCCCUUCCCAGUUCAGUCUUUGUAAGAU